UACGAAGGGGGCUAGCGUUGCUCGGAAUCACUGGGCGUAAAGGGUGCGUAGGCGGGUCUUUAAGUCAGGGGUGAAAUCCUGGAGCUUAACUCCAGAACUGCCUUUGAUACUGAAGAUCUUGAGUUCGGGAGAGGUGAGUGGAACUGCGAGUGUAGAGGUGAAAUUCGUAGAUAUUCGCAAGAACACCAGUGGCGAAGGCGGCUCACUGGCCCGAUACUGACGCUGAGGCACGAAAGCGUGGGGAGCAAACAGG
This 253-nucleotide ribosomal RNA is filed under the name uncultured bacterium. RNAcentral describes it as "partial 16S ribosomal RNA". It matches the Rfam family "Bacterial small subunit ribosomal RNA", at positions 524 to 776 of the family's 1533-position model. The record is from RNAcentral.